Long non-coding RNA from Erinaceus europaeus (western European hedgehog), 1126 nucleotides. RefSeq lists it as uncharacterized. NCBI's taxonomy places the organism in Eukaryota, Metazoa, Chordata, Mammalia, Eulipotyphla, Erinaceidae. The record is from RefSeq and is a predicted model, not a curated record. The transcript has 2 exons.
AAUGAACGCCAGAGAUCAUCAGAGUCAGAAAAAAGAAAUUUAUAUAAAUUACAAUAGAAAACUUAUGCCAGCAGAGUCAAGAUGGUGGCAUGGAGACAGCAGCUGGUGUGAGUUCUGCAAGGAAGCUUCUUUCAUCCUGGGAAUCUCAGCCACCAGGUUCCAGAUGAAAGCAUGAUGCCAACCACACUUCCCUGGACAGACAACCCCACUAAUGUGUCCUGGUGCUCCAGUUCCCCAGAACUCCACCCCUCUAGGGAAGGAGAGAGGCAGACUGGGAGUAUGGAUAGACCUGUCCAUGCCCAUGUUCAGAAGGGAAGCAAUUAUAGAAGCCAGACCUUACACCUUCUGCACCCCACAAUGACCUUGGGUCCAUACUCCCAGAGGGUUAUAGAAUAGGAAAGCUAUCAGGAUAGGAGAUGGAAUAUGGAGUUCUGGUGGUGGGAACUAUGUGUAGUUGUACCCCUUUCAUCCAAUAUUUUGUCAGUGUUUCUAAAGAAACUAUUACACAAACAAGGAGACCCUUCACAGAAUGGGAGCUCUUCACAUGCCAUACAUCAGACACCAAAAUACAUAAAGAGCUCACCAAACUUAGCAACAAAAAAGAAAAUGACUCCAUCCAAAAAUGGGCAGAGGAUAUGAACAGAAUAUUCACUACAAAACAGAUCCAAAAGCCUAACAAACACUUGAAAAAUUGCUCAGGUUACUGAUUUUCAGGGAAAUGCAAAUAAUAACAACACUGAGAUUCCACUGCAUGCCUGUGAGAAUUGCAUACACCAAAAAUGACAGCAGCAACACGUGCUGGAGAGGUUGUGGGGACAAAGGAACCCUUCUGUGCUACUAAUGGGAAUGUAAAUUGGUCCAUUCUCUGUGAUGAGCAGACUGGAGAACUCUCACAAGGAUAGAAAUAGUCCUCCCAUAUGACCCAGUAAUUCCUCUUCUAGUGAUAUAUCCUGAGGGCUCCAUAACACCUAUCCAAAAAGAUUUGUUUAUACCUAUGUUCAUAGCAGCACAAUUCGUAAUACCUAAAACCUGGAAGCAACCCAGAUGCCCAAAAACAAAUGAAUGCCUGAGAAAGCUGUGGCAUAUUUACACAAUAAAAUACUAUUCAGCUAUUAAGAACAAUGAA